GAUGAACGCUAGCUACAGGCUUAACACAUGCAAGUCGAGGGGCAGCAUGAACUUAGCUUGCUAAGUUUGAUGGCGACCGGCGCACGGGUGAGUAACGCGUAUCCAACCUGCCCAUCACUUGGGGAUAACCUUGCGAAAGUAAGACUAAUACCCAAUGACGUCUCUAGAAGACAUCUGAAAGAGAUUAAAGAUUUAUCGGUGAUGGAUGGGGAUGCGUCUGAUUAGCUUGUUGGCGGGGUAACGGCCCACCAAGGCGACGAUCAGUAGGGGUUCUGAGAGGAAGGUCCCCCACAUUGGAACUGAGACACGGUCCAAAACUCCUACGGGAGGCAGCAGUGAGGAAUAUUGGUCAAUGGGCGAGAGCCUGAACCAGCCAAGUAGCGUGCAGGAUGACGGCCCUAUGGGUUGUAAACUGCUUUAUAAGGGAAUAAAGUGGGAGUCGUGACUCUUUUUGCAUGUACCUUAUGAAUAAGGACCGGCUAAUUCCGUGCCAGCA
This 496-nucleotide ribosomal RNA is filed under the name uncultured bacterium. RNAcentral's name for it is "bacterial SSU rRNA". It matches the Rfam family "Bacterial small subunit ribosomal RNA", at positions 28 to 513 of the family's 1533-position model. The record is from RNAcentral.